This 165-nucleotide ribosomal RNA is filed under the name Echinochloa crus-galli (barnyard grass). RNAcentral's name for it is "5.8S ribosomal RNA". It matches the Rfam family "5.8S ribosomal RNA". From Rfam's summary of the family: 5.8S ribosomal RNA (5.8S rRNA) is a component of the large subunit of the eukaryotic ribosome. It is transcribed by RNA polymerase I as part of the 45S precursor that also contains 18S and 28S rRNA. Functionally, it is thought that 5.8S rRNA may be involved in ribosome translocation. The record is from RNAcentral. Lineage: Eukaryota; Viridiplantae; Streptophyta; Magnoliopsida; Poales; Poaceae.
CCACACGACUCUCGGCAACGGAUAUCUCGGCUCUCGCAUCGAUGAAGAACGUAGCAAAAUGCGAUACCUGGUGUGAAUUGCAGAAUCCCGCGAACCAUCGAGUUUUUGAACGCAAGUUGCGCCCGAGGCCUUCUGGCCGAKGGCACGCCUGCCUGGGCGUCACGC